Molecule: long non-coding RNA, 2261 nt
Filed under: Homo sapiens (human)
Lineage: Eukaryota; Metazoa; Chordata; Mammalia; Primates; Hominidae
Description: HSALNT0335276
Source: RNAcentral
ACUAUUUACCAUUGCCUCGUUUUAUGUUUGCACAUGAUACUGCUGAUUCGGUGUUUCUGAGCCAGUCUUCCUGUUAACAGAAGGGCUUAUGUUGAGCUGUUUCUGGAGGAGAAGACUUGACACAUGGCUUCAAUCUCCUUUCUCUGGCGGCAUGUGAAUCCAGCCAGUUGGCAGAUUCCAGACUAUGGAAGUGAUGUUAGACAAAAAGCAAAUUUGAGCAAUUUUCUUAUCUGAGUUCAAAAUGGGUUGUAAAGCAGCAGAGACAACUCACAACAUCAACAAUGCAUUUGGUCCAGGAACUGCUAAUGAAUGUACAGAGCAGCGGUGGUUCAAGAAGUUUUGCAAAUGAGAUGAAAGACUUGAAGAUGAGGAGCAUAGUAGCCAGCCAUCAGAAAUUGACAACAACCGAUUGAGAAAAAUCAUCAAAGCUGAUCCUGUUACAACUACCUGAUAAAUUGCCAAAUAACUCAAAAUCAACUAUUCUACCAUCUUUCGGCAUUUGAAGCUAACUGGAAGGGUGAAAAAGCUCUAUAAGUGGGUGUCUCAUGAGCUGGGGAAAAAUCGUCUUUUCAAAGGGUCGUCUUUUCAUUUUAUGCAACAACAAUGAACAAUUUCUCAAUCAGAUUGUGAUGUGUAAUGAAAAGUGGAUUUUAUAUGACAACUGGCAGUGAUUGGCUCAGACACUGGAUUCAGAAGAAGCUCCAAAGCACUUCCCAAAGCCAAACUUGCACCCAAAAAAGAUCAUGGUCAUUGAUUGGUGGUUUGCUGCUGGUCUGAUACACUACAGCUUUCUGAAUCCAGGUGAAACCAUUACAUCUGAGAAGUACACUCAGCAAAUCGAUGAGAUGCACCAAAAACUGCAAUGUCUGCAGCCGGCAUUGAUCAGCAGAAAGGGCCCAGUUCUUCUCCAGGACAAUGCCCAACCACAUGUUGCACGACCAAUGCUUCAAAAGUUGAAUGAAUCUGGCUGAGAAGUUUUGCCUCAUCUGCCACAUUCACCUGACCUCUAGCCAACUGACUACCACUUCUUCAGGCAUCUCCACAGCAUUUUGCAGGGAAAACGCUUCCACAACUAGCAGGAUACAGAAAAUGCUUUCUAAGAGUUUGUUAAAUCCUGAAGCACAGAUUUUUAUGCUACAGGAAUAAACAUUUCUUAUUGGCAAAAAUUGUUGAUUUUAAUGGUUCCUAUUUUGAUUAAUAAAGAUGUGUUUGAGCCUAGCUAUAAUAAUUUAAAAUUCACGGUCUGAAACCACAAUUACUUUUGCACCAACCUAAAAGUAUAAAAUACAUUGAGGAAAGUGGCACUUCAUCAGUAUAUAGCUAAUGAAUGUUCACAAACUGAACAUGCCCUGAUCAAGAAACAGAAUAUUACAGCUUCCCAAAAGGCAACUUCUAGUUACUAACUCCAAAGGACUAACUACUCUCCUGAUAAUAAAUAAGAUCUGUGUGCUUUGAACUUUAUAUGAAGUGAAUCAUAUAGAUAUUCUUUUGUGUCUGGUUUUUUUUUUUGCUUAAUAUUAUGCUUGAGAGAUUCCACAAUGUUGCCUUAGUCAUAGAUCAUUUAUUACUAAUUGUAUACAGUGUUCUAUUACAUAACCAUAUUAAAAUUUUUCACCCCAACUGUUAGUAAGAAUUUAGGUAGUUUUCUGCAUGGAUGCUAUUAUUUGUAUUGCUGCUCUAAAUAUUCUAGUACAUCUUUUGGUAAACCCAUAUACAGAUUUCUGUGGAUACUUUAAGUGGACUGCAGGGUCAUGUAUCAGUAAAACUUUUUAAUGUGUCAUCUGAAGUUUGGAAUUUUUAUCAGUUAGCCAAUCCCAAAGAUUUCCUAUUAUCACAGAUAUGUCACAGGUCUAUUUUGUCCUUGCUGUGCAUUAUUUCCUUUGGCUUACUUUUUGCCAAAGUUUGUAUGCAUAGCGGUUUAAUUAUGUGCCUCCUUUCUUUGAUAUGUGUAUAUCUAUCUGUCUAUUUAUCUAUCUAUCUAGAUAUGUAAUUCCCUUGAUAUUAGGCUUGAAGUAUAACUACUGGAAUUUUAGUAAACAGAUAAAGAACACAACAGUCUAUUUUGUAGUUUUUAAAACUUAUGCAUUGGUCUGCUUAGUUUUUAGGCUUUUGCCAACAAAUAAUAGAGAAGAAAUAUUUAUGUAACCUAAUGUAAAAUGGUUCACCAUUUUAAAAGUUGACCAUGUUAAAAGAUGACAUUUCCAAACAAGUAGAUAAAUGGGUAUUAAUUCACAUAAAACAUCAUUUUGUUUAUAAGAGGA